This 171-nucleotide unclassified non-coding RNA is filed under the name soil metagenome. RNAcentral describes it as "partial internal transcribed spacer 1". The record is from RNAcentral.
CAGAGUUGCAAAACUCCCCAACCAUUGUGAACCUACCUCACCGUUGCUUCGGCGGUGGCCCCGGGGCAACCCGGAGCCGCGCCGGCCCCGCUCUUGGGCCCGGCAACCCGUCAGAAGACCGAAACUCUUCGUAAUCAGUGGCCUCUCUGAGUAACUUAUACUAAUAAGUCA